Sphaerodactylus townsendi is the source of this 798-nucleotide long non-coding RNA. RefSeq lists it as uncharacterized. The transcript has 2 exons. The record is from RefSeq and is a predicted model, not a curated record. NCBI's taxonomy places the organism in Eukaryota, Metazoa, Chordata, Lepidosauria, Squamata, Sphaerodactylidae.
CUGACCUCGUCGGAUCUCAGGCGCCCAGCAGGGCUGGCUCUGGCGAGUGGUUGCAGAGGGGGACCCUCCAAGGGACACCCCCAGGGUCGCCACGCAGAGGAAGCAGCGGCAGCAGCAGCGGCAGAGCGCGCGCAGGACUCGGCGGAGCGGUAUCUCCUGGCGGUCGGUUGGCCAUUCGGCGCGAGUCAGUUGCUGGGGAGGUUCCGUUCCCCGCCCGGGUUCUAGAGCUUUUCCCUCCCAGCAGGGCACGGGCGGAAAGGAGCGCUGGACUGCUGGGGCGGGGCUGCCAAAGGGGGGGGGGCAGCAUGAAAAGGAGAACUUCUCCGUAAAGCUGUACGCAGAGGAAUACUUGAGUCAAUCCUCUACUAUAUUGAACGUGAGUGCAAUUUGCCGGAAAUAGCUCAUGUGCACAUGCUGUAUCCUUGAGUACAAAUGUAACCUUUAUAGUAAAUGGCAAGACUUAUACCCGCGGAUAUUACUCUUCACACCUAGCUUCGGGCAUGUAAUGGGGGGGUUUGCACCCAUGAACCCUUCCUUACCUAUGUCCUAGUCUGCUUUGCACAACAGGCCAGAACUAUUAUAUGUUGAUUAUUGUUGCUGUAUUUGUUUAACAUGUUUCACUGUUGUACUGUCAUUAUUAUUUAUGAAACAAAGAACAGAUUUAAAGUGGUUGUUGUAAGUCUUAUUAAUGCUAAGGGUCCCAAGGUGGGAUCACACUGUCAAAGGCUUGAACUCCUUUUCCAUUGAGGAUAAUAUCCCCUCUUAUUUUAAGAGGGUUACACUGACAUGCCAAUAAAG